This is a long non-coding RNA of Penaeus monodon (black tiger shrimp), 415 nucleotides long. RefSeq lists it as uncharacterized. The transcript has 4 exons. Lineage: Eukaryota; Metazoa; Arthropoda; Malacostraca; Decapoda; Penaeidae. The record is from RefSeq and is a predicted model, not a curated record.
UGUGCGAGAGAAUUAUGAUUACUUGGGUGCAAGGACCCGUGAUAAGAAGGCUGGUCGGAUUGGCGUGUUUUAAGACCAAAUUGAGUGUUCUGGUCGCAGUUGGCGGAAGGCAGACCAAGUAAUGUUGGGCUAGAGGCAGCUGGCCAACGCAAGUACACCAUAGGGACAUCAGCGACACUACAAGCCUCAGCCAAGGUCAGUCAUUACAACUCAUAAUUCUGUCUAGAUUAAGAGUUGUUGCCGGCCAUUUGGAGCCUAAUAAUCACUUGUCUCGCGCCAUCGUUCGAGGAUUACUACUGCUGUAAGUGCUACAAAGCGUUUGGAAGCAGUGCGUGAUAACCAACGUUUCAAAUCGGCAUUUUAAGAUCAAGUGCUCGAGUCAGUCCCUAAGAUAGCCUAAAGGUUUCAUUGAAAU